Molecule: small RNA, 151 nt
Filed under: uncultured Acetatifactor sp.
Lineage: Bacteria; Bacillati; Bacillota; Clostridia; Lachnospirales; Lachnospiraceae
Description: Clostridiales-1 RNA
Rfam family: Clostridiales-1 RNA
Source: RNAcentral
GAUACUAGGGUCAGAAGGUCAUAUUUUUCAUGCUUGCAUGAAAAAUAUGACUUUAGGACCCGCAAAACAUGAGAAAGCAGCCCGAAAAGGGCGGUUUUUGAAUGUUUUUAGGAUUACGGGAGCACGAAGUGCGGAGCAAUCCGUAGGUAUC